RNAcentral lists this ribosomal RNA (452 nucleotides) under uncultured bacterium. Its description in RNAcentral is "bacterial SSU rRNA". It matches the Rfam family "Bacterial small subunit ribosomal RNA", at positions 340 to 786 of the family's 1533-position model. The record is from RNAcentral.
UACGGGAGGCAGCAGUGGGGAAUAUUGCACAAUGGGCGCAAGCCUGAUGCAGCCAUGCCGCAUGUAUGAAGAAGGCCUUCGGGUUGUAAAGUACUUUCAGUCGUGAGGAAGGUGUUAAGGUUAAUAACCUUAGCAAUUGACGUUAGCGACAGAAGAAGCACCGGCUAACUCCGUGCCAGCAGCCGCGGUAAUACGGAGGGUGCGAGCGUUAAUCGGAAUUACUGGGCGUAAAGGGCACGCAGGCGGUUAAUUAAGUUGGAUGUGAAAUCCCCGGGCUUAACCUGGGAAUGGCAUUCAAGACUGGUUAGCUAGAGUCUUGUAGAGGGGGUAGAAUUCCAUGUGUAGCGGUGAAAUGCGUAGAGAUGUGGAGGAAUACCGGUGGCGAAGGCGGCCCCUGGACAAAGACUGACGCUCAUGUGCGAAAGCGUGGGGAGCAAACAGGAUUAGAUACC